GACGAACCGUGCGAACGUUGUUCGGAAUCACUGGGCUUAAAGGGCGCGUAGGCGGGCUGCCAAGUCCGGGGUGAAAUCUUUCGGCUCAACCGGAAAAUUGCCUUGGAUACUGGCGGCCUCGAGGGAGGUAGGGGCAUGUGGAACUUCCGGUGGAGCGGUGAAAUGCGUAGAUAUCGGAAGGAACGCCGGUGGCGAAAGCGAUCCGCUGGCCCUCUUCUGACGCUGAGGCGCGAAAGCCAGGGGAGCAAACGGG
Molecule: ribosomal RNA, 253 nt
Filed under: uncultured bacterium
Lineage: Bacteria
Description: partial 16S ribosomal RNA
Rfam family: Bacterial small subunit ribosomal RNA
Source: RNAcentral